CGUAGAGGACGUCCUCCAGGUCCCAGGCCAGGAGACGCCGCAGCAGCACGAGUGACUCGUCGAAGUACUCUGCAAUCAUGACAAGCGAGAAGACCUCCUCCACCUGGCGGAUGAGGCCCGCCAGGAUAAUUUACAUUGGAAGGAGGCAGUCUCAAAGAAACUGAGAACUGAAGAGUGCGAAACUAUCUGAACCCUUUCAGAUUCCUUUUAGUCAGUCCUUCAGAAAAGACUGUUCAUCUGGCAGACACCUGACUGAAAGAAAACCUGCAAGAGACCUGGAAUCAGGAGUUCUCAGCCGCAUUUGGAUUUGUGAUUCAUAGAAAUGGAAAGAGAAUAAAUGUUUGUUGUUUUGAG
Mastomys coucha (southern multimammate mouse) is the source of this 354-nucleotide long non-coding RNA. RefSeq lists it as uncharacterized. The record is from RefSeq and is a predicted model, not a curated record. NCBI's taxonomy places the organism in Eukaryota, Metazoa, Chordata, Mammalia, Rodentia, Muridae. The transcript is spliced from 2 exons.